CAGGUAGUGAAUGUAUAUUUAACAUAUAUACUUUCAAGAAUACAAAGUUGAUGCACUUUUCUGCAGUGAUGAGACUUCUUUUGAAGGUUUAUGUAAAGUGACUCAAAGUCGUGAGGCAUUGGUGCUCAUCCACCUAAGUACAUCAGCCUGGAGAUAGCUUCCCCUCUCAUAGACAGGCAGCUGAUUUAAGUUCCUGGAGUCAGGACAACUCUACUGGCUUGAAAGUGGAAAAGGCAGUGUUCCUUCCCUUCAUUGUUUCUUUAUUUCCUUGUGAUUAUGAUGUGCCCAUCCUUCUGGGUAAGGUUAGCUUAAGUGCCAGAAGAUUUCCUGUCAUGGAGUGAAGAACUAAAUAGGAUCUUAGAGAUGGAUCAGGUUGUGUUAAGACCUCAAAUUUGAGUCAUUUGCUCACUAGUUACUUGGAUUCCUCCCUUGAGAGCUGGAAGUUCUGAUUUCUAGUCAAAUAUUCAAUUAAACUGCUGUUGGUAUCUAA
This is a non-coding RNA of Ictidomys tridecemlineatus (thirteen-lined ground squirrel), 490 nucleotides long. NCBI's taxonomy places the organism in Eukaryota, Metazoa, Chordata, Mammalia, Rodentia, Sciuridae. The record is from RefSeq and is a predicted model, not a curated record.